Molecule: transfer RNA, 71 nt
Filed under: Marmota monax (woodchuck)
Lineage: Eukaryota; Metazoa; Chordata; Mammalia; Rodentia; Sciuridae
Rfam family: tRNA
About the family: Transfer RNA (tRNA) molecules are approximately 80 nucleotides in length.
Source: Rfam by way of RNAcentral
GUGGUUGUAGCUCAGUGGUUGAGCGCUUGCUUAGCAUGUGUGAAGCACUGGGUUCUAUCCUCAGCACCACA